UAAAAGCUAGUUUAAUAUAAAACUCCUAGUUUCGACCUAGCCAAUUUUGGGCAACAACCAAAGCUUUUAUU
Molecule: transfer RNA, 71 nt
Filed under: Freyastera benthophila
Lineage: Eukaryota; Metazoa; Echinodermata; Asteroidea; Brisingida; Brisingidae
Description: tRNA-Arg
Source: RNAcentral